RNAcentral lists this ribosomal RNA (494 nucleotides) under uncultured bacterium. RNAcentral describes it as "partial 16S ribosomal RNA". The stretch from base 52 to 494 matches the Rfam family "Bacterial small subunit ribosomal RNA", at positions 35 to 507 of the family's 1533-position model. The record is from RNAcentral.
GGGGGGGGGGGGGGGGGUGGUGGGGAGGUGGAGGGGGGACGGGAGGGGCUGGUUUGCGGUGUGGGUUGCGGGUACUGGGGUGUGGAACGGGUGAGGCACACGUGGGGGAUCUGCGCCCAACUUGGGUAUAAGCGUGGGAAACUGGGUCUAAUUCCCGAUAGGACUGCCGGGUGGUUCCUGUGGGUGACAACGAUUUUAUCGCGGUUGGGGAUGGGCUAGCGGCCUCUCAGAUUGUUGGAGGUGUAAUGGCCUACCAACGCGGCGACGGGUACCCGGACUGAGAGGGUGGACGGCAACAUUGGGAAUGAGCUACGGCCCAGACUCCUACGGGAGGCAGCAGUGGGGAAUAUUGCACAAUGGGCGGAAGCCUGAUGCAGCGACGCCGCGUGGGGGAUGACGGCCUUCGGGUUGUAAACUCCUUUCGACCGCGAGGAAGCCACCUGGUUGGAAGGGUGGUGACGGUAGUGGUAGAAGAAGCACCGGCUAACUACGUG